GAUGAAGAACGCAGUGAAAUGCGAUACGUAAUGUGAAUUGCAGAAUUCAGUGAAUCAUCGAAUCUUUGAACGCACAUUGCGCCCGCCAGCACCCUGGCGGGCAUGCCUGUUCGAGCGUCAUUUCAACCAUCAAGCCCCAGGCUUGCGUUGGAGCCCUGCGGCUGCCGCAGCCUCCUAAAAGCAGUGGCGGGCUCGCUAUCACACCGAGUGCAGUAGAUUACUCUUCGCUCAGGGCGUGCAGCGGGUUCCGGCCGUGAAACCCCCUACUUUUAAAGGUUGACCUCGGAUCAGGUAGGAAUACCCGCUGAACUUAAGCAUAUCAAUAAGCGGAGGA
RNAcentral lists this unclassified non-coding RNA (334 nucleotides) under soil metagenome. RNAcentral describes it as "partial contains 5.8S ribosomal RNA, internal transcribed spacer 2, and large subunit ribosomal RNA". The stretch from base 1 to 120 matches the Rfam family "5.8S ribosomal RNA", at positions 35 to 154 of the family's 154-position model. The record is from RNAcentral.